CUAAAAGUUGAGACUCUUGCCAGCAGAGCCAUCUGUCAAGAGAUUAUGGAGAAGAAAAUUUCUGCAGGAAUUUUCCCUUGGGACCAGAGGAAGUGCCAAGAAAAGGUGUGUGGCAUCAGGAGUGAGCACAAACUCGAGUCUUCCGCAGUGCCUAUCACAGACAGAGCGGGAACCAUCAGCCCACUGGGUCUCAGAGAAGAGAAGAGAAGAGAUGGCAGUCUUUGUAUUGCUUUUGACCAGAGAACCUAGGUCAUUUUAGCAAGAGUUCAUGAAAACCAGUCUCUUUUAAGUGAUGAUUGAGAAGAAAAGCCACCUAUAUCCUCUUGCUUAGAUUCCCUUGAGAAGUGAGAGGAAAGUGAGCUGUGUAGCCUAGUAACCGUGGAACAUAUUUCCUGUAUAAUGUUCACAACUUUGGCAAGAUUUUCAUUUGAAGAAGAAGACAAAGCUGAUUAUUAUGACUGGAUAAUGUUGAAUGAGACUGGGAUGCUCUCUCUGUUUCCUGACUCCACACUUGACCAGGGGCAUUGUGAAUGAACGUAUGAAGAGGGUUGAGUGACUGUUUUGGUGGGAACAAUUUUCAGCAAUGAUCUAUCUUCCUAUCUUGCUUAGUUUGACCUGUGUAUUUCCAUGGCACUAAUUACCAAGUGGGAGUCUUGACAGAUCACAUUAGUCCAGGGAGAAUACAAGAGUCAAGGAGAAGCUUUCUCAUAUGAUUCUCCUAAAGGUCUGCCUAGGGUUUGUCUGCAGGUAAAAGUUUUGAACUUUUUUUCUCCUAGGUAUUCAAAAUCUCAGCUACAAAUUUACAUGAGUAUUACUCACUGAUAUUGCUUCAUGUAAUUAUUGUUUCCUACUAAAUUUGAAGACUUUUUGAGUGCUUUGUGUUUUGGGAUCAAUCCCAUAGGCUUGUUAUAUUUUUCUACAGGCUUCACUGAAAAAAAGUUUAAGUUAUGAGGGCAAAAGACUAUUAUACCAUUAAUUUCUUCUUUCCUUAUACACAGAGAUACCAGUUCAGGGUGGGAAUGAAUGCUUACCUUCCAAUAACCAUCCCCAAAUCAUCACUACAUCCUCCCACACUCUUUGUCUCAUCUUUAUAUAAAUCACUUCCUUCUAUAUGUUCCCACAUCAGCUCACACUUGACUAUCAUUGUGCUGAGCACCAUUACUUAAAAUUAUUUAUUUAUUGAUAUCUGACUUUUCUUUACUGAAUUAUAACUCCACAAAUUAGAAAACUGGUCUUAUUUUUCUUUGCAUCUUCUUCAAACUUCUGGAAGGACAGGUAUAUGGUAAUUGGCUAUUGAAUAAAUCAAUAAUCCAUUGAAUGAUCAUUUCAUUUUGUUCACACAUUACUUUUGAAGUUGAUCAACACCAGUGUCUGCCAAAUGCUUUUGUAAACUAUUUUAAUUCUAUAUCGAGUUACUAAAACUUCAACAAUAUUUGGUUAAAAAAUAAAAUUGGUGUUUUCCCUC
Long non-coding RNA from Bubalus bubalis (water buffalo), 1465 nucleotides. RefSeq lists it as uncharacterized. Lineage: Eukaryota; Metazoa; Chordata; Mammalia; Artiodactyla; Bovidae. The record is from RefSeq and is a predicted model, not a curated record. The transcript has 3 exons.